This is an RNA transcript of Cephus cinctus (wheat stem sawfly), 2546 nucleotides long. It is a transcript of the gene named protein unc-50 homolog, with no coding region annotated. NCBI's taxonomy places the organism in Eukaryota, Metazoa, Arthropoda, Insecta, Hymenoptera, Cephidae. The record is from RefSeq and is a predicted model, not a curated record. The transcript has 9 exons.
AUUUUAUCGUUAGACUGCCUCCGUUUGACUGUAGAUGUCACUUGAAUAGUUUCACUGAUUUUCAGUGGUAAUAUCAGUAUUAGGAAGCCAAGUUUAAUAUAAAUAUGAGCGCGAAUAUCAUUGUGGCCUUUGAUAAUAUUUUACGUUUUCCUGUCUAGCAUUGAUCGUUGAGUGUGUUUGUUUGGCUGGUAUAAGGAAUGCCACAAUAUCCCUAACCUAAGAGAACAGUUUCAUGUUUAUGUAUUCUUGGACUUAAAACCCAAUAAGAAGGCAAUAUGAAGUAUUCUACUUCUCCAUCGACCAGUCGUUGCACAUCACCUAUGUUGCUGCAUUCUGGUACGAUGUUACCUACUCCAGUAACUUAUAGACGCAACUGUAUGGGAGCUGCUACAAAAUGUUAUAAAUAUUUGAGAAAAUUGCUGAAGUUUGAUCAAAUGGAUUUUGAGUUUGCUUCUUGGCAAAUGAUAUAUCUUUUCACAGCGCCGCAGAAGGUGUACAGGAAUUUUCAAAGUAGAAAACAGACUAAAUCACAAUUCGCAAGGGAUGAUCCUGCCUUUGUUGUCCUUUUAAGUUUCUGGCUGUGCAUCUCAUCCAUAGGAUUUGCUAUACUUUUGGGACUAGGAUUCUUCCAGUUUUUUAAAUUUCUUUUUUAUGUCAUCCUAGUAGACUGCAUAGGAACUGGAAUAAUCGUCGCCACACUUUUUUGGUUUAUUACAAACAGAUACUUGAGAGUCGAUCGAACACAGGAUGUAGAAUGGGGUUAUGCAUUUGAUAUACAUUUAAAUGCCUUCUUUCCACCUCUAAUUAUCCUUCAUUUCUUACAGUUGUUUAUGUACAAUGGUCUAAUAAAAUACGUAGGAUUUGGAUCAAUCUUCCUUGGAAAUACUUUGUGGCUAAUUGCUGUUAGCUAUUACAUUUACAUCACAUUCUUGGGCUACACCAGUAUACAGAUAUUACACAGGACUCAGUUAAUACUAAUGGCAUUACCAUGUGCUCUGGUUCUGUAUAUUGUUACUCUGGCCAUUGGCUUCAAUAUUAGCAACAUGGUAAUGAUCUUUUACCAUGAACGAGUCAUGUAAAUUAAGGAAACAAUGAAGCCUACACAUAACUAUUUGAUUGAAUACAACAAACCAUUGACAUAUAGCACAGACUACGCACAAGCAUAGAAAAACAGCCGGCUGAAAGAGAUAGCGAUUGGUUGCGGUCAUAGAACUUAUACUCCUGGAAGAGGAAUGGCGCAGUUAAAAGUGGAGCCAACAUGUUGAAACAGAGAUAUAUCUUUUUCUCACUUCGUAACGUUCAGUUCUCCUCACUGCGCAAUUUGACUGACAUAACAAACCACUGAACUCUAACCAUACUGGAAUCCUUCCUUCCUUUCCUUAUGGCCGAUUCCUCCAAUGACGAGAUGUGCUAAUACCAUACUGAAAUCCGUACGCCUGUAUUCGGAAGUAACCACUGAACUGUAACCAUACUGGAACGCGUACGGCAUUGAUGGGGGCGAGCAGAGUGAGAUAGCAAGGACACAGGCGAGUGUAGCAGCCUGUCUGUAUUAUAGACUGUACAGUCUCUGAAAAAGAUGUAAGCUGAGAUAAAGCAGUGCGCACUGGGAGGACUAACAAUAAGUCACCAUAACGUAACCUGAAAUAGUGGCACAUGUAUUUUAUUUCGAAGCUGAUAUAGCAGAGGCAAUUUUGCAAAUUGUUAAAUUACGGGACUACAAAAUGCGUGGAAAACCAUCAGCUGAAACGCCCCUUCGACUCCAAGCCCAAUAUUGGGCUCGUUUCCCCAAAAGUAUAGAUCCGACACCUCGAAAUAAGCAUCCAACAAGAAUGUGCAAAGUCUGUUAUAAACGUAAAAUACGAAGCGCAACAAAGUGGGAAUGCUCGAAAUGACAAGUGGCUUUACAUCUGUCCUAAUGUUUUAAGACAUAUCAUACCAUGAAGGAUUUCUAGAGUUGCGCAGUGUUACUACAUAUUUGAGAGCACCAAACUACAUUCGAAAACUGCUAUACAUUUUCUACAAUAAUAUAUAAACAGCUAUUAUAUACUACAUUAUUAUAUACAAAAUAUAAUAAAUUUAUAAUAUCUAUAAACGUAAAAGCAUUAGAGUUUACUUCCUCAACUCCUGUAUCGCGUAAAAUUGACUAUAUCACAGAUAUUGCGGGCAUCUACAUUUCGGAUCGUAUUGCGACUGUUUACAAACAUCAGUCUGGUCUGUUUAGCGCGCGUUGAUGCGGACUGCUUAAGCCCGAGUUUCGUCGAGCUAAAUGGCACGGGAAGGGGUUAAGAUAAGGGAUUCAGCAAACGGGGUUCAUUGUGAUCUCCUGUGGGUACUGAAUCAUUAUCAUCCGAACCAAUAGCUGGCCCACGGUCUUCGGACGCAUUGUGAAAUCUGCUGUAUUGUGGUUCCAGCUACCUCUCUCCAAUCCAAAAGGCUAGCAGAGAGAAUAAAGUAAACAAAAACACUUCUUGUCGCCUGUGGUAUUACAGGCAAUCUAGAGACAAUUGUAAAGCAUGUGUAUGGGUGUGAGAGAGACCAAAUAGAAU